GGGCCAGCUUUCAUGUUUCCUGUGAAGCGGCCAGCCAACCCAAACUUAGGUCGUCCAACACAAAUCUGGGGACAUAUAGACAAAAACAGGCUUGGUUUCUUCCUUGACCAAACCUUGCCACAACACAGGGCCAGGGUGAGGUUAGCCUGACAUCUCUUGGUGUGAUUCUGAUGGGCAGUCUCCCCUCCUUCACAGUGGGACUUAAACUUCAGGACCCCAACCCCCUGACUGUCAAAUAUCCCUACAAUCACUAACUGCUCAUUCUUCUUGUGAAUUCUACAUAGGGGUGCUUAGCACACUACUUGUGUGAUUUGUGUGUGUAUGUGUGUGUGCACGUGUGUGUGUGUGUACGCAUGCAUGUGUGGGCACUUAGGCAUGUGGAAGCCUGAGAUGAAUGGCUGGUGUUUCCUUCAAUUGCUCCCCACCUUACCAUUUCAGACUGGACCUUUCAUUGAACUCAGAGCCCACUGACUGGCCAAAACUGAUGACCACUGAGCAAUGCAGAGUCUGUUGUCUCUGCUCCCCUCCCCCAAUUCCCUCCUCCUGAACCAGGGUUACAGAGUAGUUGAUUGAACGCGGGCCUUUGAACAUUCUAGACAAGAAAUCUGCACCGAGCCCCAGUUUCAUUUGCUCCUGUAAAGACCUGAGUAGGCACCAGCCAUCUACGGGGACUUAGCAGAUACUGCAGAAUGACUUCCUUCCUUUUAUACACAUGUGGAUAUGCGUACAGCCCAGGGGCUCUGAGGAUUGAAAACAUGAACGACUUUUGCCAUCCUUGGUGCUGAAGCAACUCUUGACUGAUCCCUUCUCCAGAGACUUGCUACCCAGGGUUGGGGUGGGGUGUACACCACCUCCGUGCAAUCGACUCCCGAGGCUCUUUGGACAGACGGAGAGCAAUUUCUAACAAAUUAAGCAAUGUCGUCACAAUCCUUCUGGCACUCUCCCUGAACACCUGCUUCACCCAGAGCAAAAGGCAAAGUCCACUGUACUGGCUGGUUUUGCAUCAACUUGGCACAAGCUAGAGGCAGAGAGGAAGGCGCCUCAGCUGAGGAAAUGCCUCCAUGAGAUCGAGCUGUCAGGCAUUUUCUCAAUGAGUGAUCAGUGUGUGUGUGUGGGGGGGGGGGGAGGUCACUGUGGGUGGAGCCAUCCCUGGGCUGGUGGUCCUGAGUUCUAUAAGAAAGCAGGCUGAGCAAGCCAUGAGGAGCAGCACCACCCCAUGGCCUCUGCAUCAGCUCCUGCCACCAGGUUCCUGUCCUGACUUCUUUUGGUGAUGAACAACAAUGUGAAAGUGUAAGCUGAAUAAACCCUUUCCCC
Mus musculus (house mouse) is the source of this 1314-nucleotide long non-coding RNA. RefSeq annotates it as predicted gene, 52534. The transcript has 4 exons. The record is from RefSeq and is a predicted model, not a curated record. Lineage: Eukaryota; Metazoa; Chordata; Mammalia; Rodentia; Muridae.